This 406-nucleotide ribosomal RNA is filed under the name uncultured bacterium. Its description in RNAcentral is "partial 16S ribosomal RNA". It matches the Rfam family "Bacterial small subunit ribosomal RNA", at positions 29 to 526 of the family's 1533-position model. The record is from RNAcentral.
AUUGAACGCUGGCGGCAGGCUUAACACAUGCAAGUCGAACGAGUGGCGGACGGGUGAGUAAUGCUUGGGAAUCUGGCUUAUGGAGGGGGAUAACGACGGGAAACUGUCGCUAAUACCGCGUACCAUAGGAUGAGCCCAAGGGGGAUUAGGUAGUUGGUGGGGUAAUGGCCUACCAAGCGGACGAUCGCUAGCUGGUCUGAGAGGAUGACGAGCCGCACGGGGGCUGAGGGACGCCGCGAACUCCGACGGGAGGCACAGGUGGGGAACAUUGGGAAGUGGGGGCAAGCGUGACGCACCCAAGCGGCGUGACUGAGGAGGGCCAGCGGGGUGUAAAGUACUUUAGUUUUAGAGGCGUUAAAUAAAGAAGAAGCACCGGCUAACUCCGUGCCAGCAGCCGCGGUAAUAC